Molecule: long non-coding RNA, 12091 nt
Filed under: Populus trichocarpa (black cottonwood)
Lineage: Eukaryota; Viridiplantae; Streptophyta; Magnoliopsida; Malpighiales; Salicaceae
Description: long non-coding RNA (PTRI_LNC000845)
Source: RNAcentral
UUCGGUUCUCGUUCCCAACUCAUUGCUUAGAGCAUUUAGAUUUUGCUGGAAAUAAUUAUGUUGAUUUGUAUGUUAAAGAUAGCUGUGGUGAGCUUCGAGUUAUUCGUUGCCUGAAGAGAAAUGGAGUUUAUGACAAGCCAGUGCUUUCUAUGGGCUGGCUUAAAUUUGUUGCUGAUUAUGGACUGAGAGUUGGUGACAAGGUUGUUCUUCAUCGUGAGGAUGACCAUAACCUGGGGUCACAGUUCAUGAUUGAAGCUAAGAGGAGAAUCAUGCUGCUUGGUGAGGAGGCUUGGGGUGAUGUGACAAGAGCUAACUAGCUAUUAUUUGGAUGUUCGGCCAUAUCCAGAUAUAUAUAGAAGAAUGAAUUUAUGUAUGUGUUUAUGUUUGAGUGUUCGUAGUGAUCAUAAUCAAUGUCAUCUGCGUCAGUCUAAUUAAAUAAAUAUGUUGCUGUUCUUGGUUUCUUGAAAAUGUAUUACGUGCAUGUAAUUCUCAGCAAUAAUGGAUUUAAUUAAUUAUAUAUGAUCAGAUUCUGUCUCUAAUAGUAUGAGUUAUAUAGUAUAUAUGUACUGAUCUCAAAUUCCGUUUCCAGGAGUUUUUUUUUUUUUUUUCCUUCAAGUUUUUACAUUUCCAGGUUUUUCAAUUUUGUUGGUUUAAAUCAUGGGAAAUUCAUUGGUGAUGCUAAGAAACAAAGAUCGUUGUUUCAAAUCCUAUGUUGUCAACUCUUUCUAUUUUAUUUGGAAUGAGUUAUAUAUUUCAUUUCAGUUUAAAAAAUAAAAAAAACUAAGAACGGAUUUUAUCUUGCUUAAAAAAAUAUUAUCUAGUUUUACCAUAUCAAUUAUAUUUCUCGAUCCAACUAUUGAAUCAGGCUGAAAUUAUAUGAGUCUCCAGAUAUAUUGUGAUAUUUCAAGUUAAAAGUUUAGAAAUGCCUUGCAACAUUUUCUGAAUUUUGUUUCUAAAAGUUAUUUUUUUAUGUUUUUUUCAAUUUUAUCAUUUAACAAUAGGUUUAUUAAAACUUAAACUGCAUAAUUUGUUUUGAUUUAUUUUAUUUAUCAUGCAUUUGAAAAGUUAAUUUUUAUUUUUAUUUUUUGCUAUUUUGUGCGCUUUUCAAGUGUCUGAAAAUGAAGAUUUCCAUUGAUUUAAAACCAUAGAGACUCCAUAUAUAUAGUUUUUGAAAUCAUGGGAACUAACUCAUUGGUGAUGCUAAGAAACAAAGAUCGAUGGAUUCAAAUACUAUGGUGUCAAUAUUGAGAUAUAAUCCUAUCGUAACAACAUAUCAUUUAUAAAAUUAUAUUUUCCAAUCUAAUUAUUAGAUUAUGCUAAAAUUUUAUAACAAAUCUCCUAACAUAUUAUGAUACCUCAUGUUAAAAGUUUAGAAAGGCUUGCAAAACUGUCAAUUGCAUUUAUAAUUUUGUUUUGAAAGUUUAUCCUUUUAUCUUUCUUUUUUUUUAGAUUUGAUUAUUUUUCAAUUUUUUAUUUAACAAUAAGUUUAUUAAAAAUUGAGCUAUAUAAUAUUUUUAAUCAAAUUAUAUUUUUAUUAGUUGUAUAAAUUAUGUGCUUUAAAUUAAUAUUUUAAAUUAUAAACAGUUUGGAACGAUAUGUGAAAACGCUAUGAAACUAAAACAUGAAAAAACAGAACACUAACUGGAACGGAUUUGUUUAAACAGAGCAAUUGUAACAUGGACUCCACCAUUAGCCUGUGAACUCAAGAUUCCAACUUCCCCUUUCCUUCCUAGUUUAUGUGAAGUUUGCUUACUCAUUCACAUCAGAGGACAGUUUUCUUUUCUUUAUUUUUCUUUUGUAAAGAAGUUUGAAGCAUCAGGAAACUAGCUCAGUAUUGAAUUGAAACAUGUCUAGUCCUUUAAAAUUCACAGAACGUAACAGGGAUAGUGAGAGUAAUUCAAUAAAGAAGCACUCAAACCAUAUCAUACAUAACUGAGAAGAGAAACUUACUUCGUUCCUCCUCCUCUUUUGAUAAGCCCAGAUGGAGGGAUUCACAGAAGGCAUCAAAAUUGCCCCAAACCUGUAGCAAAACGCAAAGUUGGUUGGCAUACAAUACUCCUGCUAAGGAACUUGAAGAAAGAAAGCGAUUUGGCAUCGCUGCAGCAGCUAGAGAGAUCUUGAAAGAGAUGCUUAGCCUACCUCUUUACAUGUAUCAAAAACAAGAACACCCAAUAUUCCAAUUCUGGUUCACAUCCAAGAUAUUGAAGAGGUCAAUGCUGCGGUCAAUGCAGACGAGAGUGUUGAGGUCAACAGCCAAGUCUCCAUGAUUUGCUUCCUAAUUGGAUCCUCAAAAACAAAGAGCAAAUACCAUGAGAAUAUUCGAAAGCAAUAAUUGAAGGGGCUUAAGCAAAGAUGCCGUUCAUAUAUAUUAAGAGAUUAGGUAAAAAGAAUGGGGAACUACCUGGAACGUAGGACGAGAUUGCGUUUGAAGGAAAAGAAGCGGUAUUAUUUUGACUCACAAUCUUGGAACAAGUACAAAUAAGUCCUUCUCCUUUAUAGUCUGGCUAAUCUACCCCCAAGCUUUGUCUUGCCUUGGCCUUUUGCCCUCUCUCACACUGCAGCUAUAAAUCAUGCUCGUCUUCUGUUUUCGCAGAUACAAAACCCCAGUACUUAUAUUUGGAAUACCAUGAUUAGAGGCUACUCUGAAGCCAAAAUGGGCCAUAGUGGCUUCUUGUUUUUCUGCCAAAUGCUUCAGAAUGGCGCUGAAAUGGACUGUAGGAGCUUUGUUCUUGCGCUCAAAGCGUGCGAGCAGUUUUUGAGAGUUUUAGGAGGGAAAUCAGUUCAUUGUGGUAUUCGAAAGAUGGGUUUUGUUUAUGCUAUGUUGUUUCAAGAUGGGUUGGCUCGUUUUUAUGAUCUGCUGCGUGGUUGUUUGGGUUUUGCUUGACACUUGUUUGAUGGAAUUCCUGCUAGAGAUGGACUUUCUGUCUAUGACUGAUGGAUAUUCUAAGCGUAACUGUUGGGAUGAGACUUCGAAGCUUUUUGACUCGAUGUCAGUGGAGGGCAAUGUAGAGCCCGAAGAGGUCACUAUGAUAGCCGCUCGUUCAGCUUGCUCGCAGAAGGGGGGUUUGAGAUCAGGGAAGAGUUUUCACGAAUAUGUAAGACUAGAAAUGGAAAUCACCAUGAAUGUGAAACGUGGCUGCUUGGAUUCUGCAAGAGGGAUCUUAGAUACCAUUGACCGUUUAUUGUUUUUUUUCACUUAUUAAGACUUACAGUUCUUUUCUAUUAUAUGUAUGUAUAUUUUUAUUUUUUUUCACUUGAAAUUUUUUUAAAUACAAAAAAAUAUUGAAAAAGUCUAUAUAUAAUUUUUUUUGUUAUAUCCAGUAUAAACUAAAAGAGGUGGUGCUUUUAUUGUGCACUACCUUGUAAAAUACUAUUCAUUUCAAUAGUAUUUUUUUGUCUUUUGUUUUCUAAAUAUAUAUUUUUUUUUAAUUUUAUAUUUUAAUAUUUUGUUUAUUGAAAAUUAGGUUUUAUAAUUUAUUGUGGUUUGCUUUAUACGUGGUUAGCUCGAUCUUGUAACCCGUGUCACAGGUUUGGCGGGUUGACUCUAGUUUUAUUUUUCUUUUUUAAUUGAUAAUUUUUUUUCAAUUUCAUCAUUCAACAUUAGGUUGAUUGGAAAUUAGGUUUCAUGAUUUAUUUUGGUUUGCUUGAUAUAAGAUUAUCUCGGUCUCAUUACUUGAGUCGCGGGUUUGGCGGGUUAACCUAGUUAAUUCGAGUUUUUAUUAACUUUUUAUAUUGGAAUUUUUUAUAUUUCAUCCUUCAACAUUUAGUUGAUUAUGAAUUAGGCCUCAUGAAUUAUUUUGGUUUGCUUUCUAUGGGGUUAUCUUGGUCUUAUACUCGGGUCACGUGUUUCGUGGGUUAACCCGGAUAAACUCUUCUUGUUUUGUUGUAUCCUAUUUUUAAAUUUAAUUUUCUUUAUUUUCAACCUUUAACAAUGACAUUAUUGAAAAUUAGGCUUCAUAAUUUUUUUAUUUGCUUUUAACAGAGUUAUCACAGUCUCAUGACCUUGGUCGCGAGUUUGACAGAUUAAUUCAGGUUGACUCAGGUCUUUUUUUUAUUUACUUUCUAUGAGAUUAUCCUGAAUUUUUUUUUUCUAAUUUCAUACUUCAAUACUUAGUUUAUUGGAGAUUAGGAUUCAUAAUUUAUUGUGAUUUGCUUUAUACGUGGUUAGCUCGGACUUAUAACCCGUGUUGCAGGUUUGGCGGGUUACCUCGAGUUUGUUUUCUCUCUUUUUAAUUGACCCCUUUUUUUUCAAUUUAAUCAUUCAACAUCAAGUUGACUGGGAAUUAGACUUCAUGAUUUAUUUUGGUUUGUUUUUUAUGAGGUUCUCUUGGCCUCAUGACUCGAGUCGCGGGUUUGGCGAGUUAACCCUGCUGACUUGAGUUUUUUUUUUUUAACUUUUUGAUUGGCAUUUUUUAUAUUUCAUGAUUCGGCAUUGGUUUGAUUGUGAAUUAGGCUUCAUGAUUUAUUUUGUUUUGCUUUCUAUGAGGUUAUCCAGUCUUAUGCUCGAGUCACGUGUUUUGCGGGUUAACCCAGGUAGACUCAAGUUGUUUCACCGUGUUCUAUUUUUAAAUUGAUUUUUUUUUCAUUUUCAACCUUUAAUAAUGAGUUUAUUAAAAAUUAAGCAUCAUAAUUUAUUUUGAUUUUCUUUUAAUAGGGUUAUCACAAUAUCAUGACCUUCGUCGCAGGUUCGACAUAUUAAUCCGGGUUAAAUCAAGUAAUUUUUUUGUCUACUUUUCAUGAGGUUAUCUUGAUAUGAUGACCCGAAUCACAGGUUUGGCAGGUUAACCUAGAUAAUUUUUUAUUGUUUUUUAAUUAAUUGUUUUCAUUUACAUUCUUCAACAAUGAGUUGAUUGGGAAUUGAGCUUUGUAAUUUGUUUUGAUUUAAUUUUUAUAGAGUUAUCAUGGUCUUAUAAUCUAGGUCGUCGAUUUGACAGAUUAACAUGUGUUAGCCCGAAUCGAUUCAAUAUGUUUUCAUUCUAAUAUUAUUUUAAAAAAAAAAGAUGUUGCCUUGAAUUUUUGUUAAUCAAACAAUGUUUUUACAAGUUGUCUUGGGUUACUUAUAUCCGUCAGGUCGAUCAGGUCACAUCGGCUCAACCUCCACGCGGUUUUAAAAAAUAUUUACUUGAAAAAUAUUAGCAAUGUCUGGAUGUUUCUUUUGUUUGCUAAAAAAAUUGAUCUGACUUGAGGCGUAAAGCAGGUCAACGAUCUAGUCUAUCAACAAAAACUAAUGGAGGGAAAUCAUUGUUCCUCUCCUUGAACGCUACUAUUUAAGUGUUGUUCAUUGGAAAGAAUGUAACCCGUGCCACACCGAGGGUCGGACCAAACUGUUACAAACACUAAAAAAGAAUAUUCAAGCGAUGAUAAUCUGAGACAACCAGGUUAAAUUAACUAAAACACAGCCUGAGAUAUGAGACUGAAAGAAUCAGUAAAAAAAAAAAAAUAGAAAGUUCAAGGCCUAAUAACCUAAUGUCAAAGAUAAAAACAAAAAAAAAGCUUCAAAAAAUACAAUGCCGAAAAAGAAAACCAGAGUCAGCUCGGGUAACUUGACAAACCAACAACCCAUGAUAUGACUUUGGGAUGAAAAAAAGAAUUUCAAAAGGAUGACCUAUGUCGCACCGGACAUCGCAGCAGCCUUAAAAUUUUAUAUUUCAUGGAAAGAAUGGAUUUCUGGCAUCCUAUUCUUUAUUGGGGAACGAUAUUGUUUAAGGAGUCACCACCUAGUAUUAUGGUUACUAGGAACCCUAACUGGUCAACAGAGAUUCUAUGGUUCGGGACUAGUUACGUAAAAGGAAAGAUAUUAUCACCCCUUAAACGUCCUGCCUGUGGCAGACCUCAUUGCUGGUUUUGCCUUAAAUUGCUAAAUAUUUAUUAGAUUAUACUAUUAUAAUUUGCUUAUAAUAUUCCUGACUCUAGCAUCAGUGAAUGUUCAACUACGGAUACUUCUAACUCUGGCGUUAGUAAAUAUUACGUAGCUAUAAAAUAAAUUUAUAUCAAUAUUUUUAUUCCUGACUCUAGCGUCAGUGAAUAAAUAAAAAAAAUAAAUUUAUGUUAUUUUUAUUCAUGCAUACACAUAUUUUUUAUUAUUUUUUAUUUUUUAUUUUUUUUAUUUGAGGCUGGGCCCAGCUCAGCCCAUAUGGGCUGGGCUAGACCCAGCCAGCCCGGCUGGGCAAAGCAACACGCGUGAGCUAAUUCACGCGUGUUGCUCACUGUUCAAGUGAAUUAAAAUUCACUUGAACAGUGCAAUGUGCUAAUUAUUUGGAGAAUGUAGCAAAGCGGGAGGAGAAAGAUUGCUUACCUGAUCUGCUGGAGGCGAUGAAGACGACGGUGAAGUUGAUGUUAGUCUAUGUGUUUUCUGCUUGCGUUUUUCCUUUUGCUUUCCUUGUGAUUCUGUCUGAAUUUAUUCCUCUGUUUCCUUCCCCCCCGAAUUCUCUCCGUUUUUGGUCUCUCUCUCGCUGUAAGCCCCCCCCUGCUCGUCGUCUCCUCUCUUUAUGCUCACGGCUUUCUGUGAAUUUGUUUUGACUGAUCCCUUUCUACUCUGUUUCGUUCUUCGUUUGCCCAAGUUCGUCCUCCCAGUUUUCUUCCUCCGUUCUCUCCUGCCCCUUUUCUUCCCCCCCCCCCCCCCCCCUCCCUUGCUGAGGCCUUUCUCUGGCUUUUAUAAAGCCAGAGAAGGUCUUGUGUCCCGGCCUCCAGAAAUGGCGGGCAUCGUGGAGGCGAGAGAUCGUGGCUUCAGGAAUGGCAUCGUGGGCAUAGUGGCUGUGAUCUGCUGAAUCUUCCCCUGGCCAUGAUCUGCUGAAUUUCACUGUUAAACCGGCUUCCUACGCGCGAAACGAAGGAGACAAUGAACAAUGCUUCCAAAACGGCGUCGUUGUGUCCUUGGGCAUCUGUUUUUCACUUUGGUCCCUAAACAGUUUAAACUUAACAAUUGGGAUCCUAAUCAGUAAUAAUUGAUUUCUUGUGCCCUUGGGUUAAUUUCAAUUAAAUCCCUGAAUUUAUUUAAUUAAUUAAAUCAAAGUUUAAUUAAGUCCACAAACUUAUUAAUUCUUCUGAUUUCAUUUAAUUAAACUAAUCCAAAUUUUAAUUAAAUUUCCAAACUUAUUAAUUCUUUAAUUUCUGACCAAUUUACUCUCAAAUCUGAUAAUUUCAUCCCUGAACUUCGAAUUUGUGUUGUUUUAACCCCAUUCUCAAAUAUAUUUUUAUCCAUUUAUUUUUUUUAUUCAAAAAUUGGGUUAUGACAACCUAGUAAAAAAAAACCAAAGUUUGAUGAUAAAAUGUCAAAAAAAACUUGAGUCAAUCAUAGUUAACUUACCAACCUGCUAUCGGAAUAACCAAACACUAAGAAAAGUGAAAAAAUAAAAAAGCUCAAGGGCAAAUAAUUUAAUGUAAAAUGAUAAAAUUAAAAAAAAAAGCAUAAAAAAAUUCAAGGGAAAAAAUCCUAGUCAAUCUAGGUUAACUUGACUAACCCAUCACACACGACAUGAGAUAUUGAUGGAAAAAAAAAUCAGACUUCCUAAAAAGGACCAGGCAAAAAAGGUCUAAGUUAAAUAAAAAAACAUUGUGAACAAAAAUGCAAGAUGACCCUAGUUAACUUGAUCAACCCACUCUUGAAAUAACGAAAUAGAAAGAGAAGAAAAAAAAAUAACAAAGCUCAGUGCAAAUAAUUUAAUGCAAAAUGAUAAAAAUAAAAAAUAAAAACAAAGUCAUAAAAAAAUUGGGGAACACCGAGUCAACUCGGGUUACCUCGACUGACCCGCCACUCGCGGCAUGAGAUUAGGAUGAAAAAAAUUAGACUUCCAAAAAAAGAACCUAGCGAAAAAGACUGUAGUUAAAUAAAAAGACAUCGUGUAAGAAAAUGCAAGCUAACCGGGGUUAACUUGAUUAACCUGUACUCGGGAUAACCCAAAAUAAUAAUAAAAAAAGUGAAAAAAUCACUUAGCUCAAUGACCAAUAAUUUAACAACAAUGUAUGAAAUUGUUAAAAAAAUCAAUUUCAUAAAAAAAAUAAAGGGGAAAAAACAUGAGGCAAUCAUGGUUAACUUGACUAAUCUAUUACCUGAAAUAUGAGAUCGAGAUAACUCAAUAAAAAAAAGAAAAAUAAUGAGUUAAGGGCUUAAUAACUAAAUGUCAAAGGAUAAAUUAAAAAAAAAUAUCAUUAAAUACCUGUUGUAACAGUGUCAAAUGUGCAUGGGAUGCACACUUCGGCAGGCUGUCCAAAACAGGGCCUGAGGGUGCUGGCAGCCAUGCCAACAGGGGCAGAAAUUGGCAGCGCAGAUUUGUGCAGCUGUAGGUUCGUCAAAGAAAAAUCGGCAGCGCAGAUUGUUGACGAACAUGGGCUGGACGAUGGACUGUCCAGGCCACGCAGGAAAACUCGUCAGGGGGAUAGGCUGACGAGAACUGGGGCUGUCGAGGAAUUCGGCAGCGAAGACAUUGGCAGCCUGCACGCAGAUGCGAAUUCGGCAGCGCGCAGCAGCUUGUGCAAGUCGUUGGCUCGACUUGGCACGAUCUGAAACUUGGACGAAGGACUGUCCAAGGCAUGUGAGUGACUCAACGGAUGACGCAGCAAGAGCUGGCAGCAGGGGCUGCCAGGUGGGCAUGCAGAACGUGGGUAGUGGCAGUUAUGGAUAUCCAAGAUCAUGUGGGUAGUGGCAGUUAUGGAUAUCCAAGAUCAUGGGAUCAUGGGGGCUGACCAGGGGUUGCUCUCAACCCACUAAAGAUCAUGGGGGGAAAACUUCUCACUACUUGGUAGAUAAUGGGGCCACUAUGUUCAUGGGUGAACAUGGGUGAGAUAGUGUCCCACUACUUCCUUAAAAGUAGGAAUGGGGGGUGUGCCUUGUAAAUGCUUGUCUAUAAAUACUUGUGGUAGCUUUUGGUUGAGGGGGGCGGCAUGUAUGGGCAUGCAGCAGCAUGCGUUGGGAAUGUUCAGCAUGUAGGGGCAUGCAAGAACAUGUAGAGCACUAGUUAGAGGUAGCUUGGUGUAGCAUGCAAUCUUUGUGCAUAGCACACAUACGGAAUUGUGUAUAGUUUCCUUUGUUAACGAGAUCAAUAAAGGUGGGGACAGAGUUCCUAUAAAGCUUGUUGUGCACUUUGAUUCUUAUUCUUACUUGUGUAUUCCGCUUGCUUAGUUACUAGGCAAACACGAGUGGGAUUGGCGAGGGAAGGCUGAGUCUAGCGAGGGACUAGGCUGCCGCACGGGUUUCUUCGCGGAGCGAAAAAUUACCCCGUGACACCUGCCAUGUUGGGAGAUAACUAUAAAAAAAAUAACAAAAUAAAAUAUUUAAAAGGAUGAUCGUAGCAUUAACGGUGAAGCACUUCCAGAUGGAAGUCAAGAGUGAGUUAGAAGGUUUCAGCAGUUGCGUUUGAAGCUUAAGACGGCCAAUAACUGAGCUGGUGUUUCAAGAUUCAGCCGUGUAAAUUGUAAAACUAAUUGUGAUUGGAUAGUAAUUGUCCGUCUAAUUAGUGCACUGAUUAUUGUUUGUAAAAUAGAAAGUUGAAAUAUAAAUAUAAAACGAACAAACAUAUUUCGGAUUACAAGAUAAGUAUGUUUUUUUUUUUUUGGUGUCUAAACCAUCUAUCCUCGGAGUAAAACGUCAUUGCACGCCCAUAGUGCUGACGGUCUCGGUCGAUGGCACAGACACCAUUUAUUCUUUGGGCUUCCGAGCAUUUCAAAUCGAUGCAUGCUGCAGAGAUCGAGCGUAAUUCUAGCAUUAUUAUAUUAUAAAAAAUAUAUUGUGGACCCAGAAUUGGAAAUGACUUCAAAUUAUGCACAGGCAUGGAAGGACUUGCCCUUCAACAAUAUCGUGCACCUUGUUGCUUAUUCGAACAAAAACCUCGCAGAAAUCUCAAGAAAAAAUUUACAAAACCAAAUUCUCAAUCAGCUCAAUAUUAAAAAAAAUUGACAAAUAUAAUUUUGAAAAAUAAAGAAAUAAAAAAACAACAUUUUCUAAAAUCACAAGUGCCAAAAAUAAUGGGAAGGAUGGGCUAGGUAAAAUACAAUUAACUGAUAACAAACCUUAUUUAUUCUUGUAGUUUUUUUAUUAAAUGGGGUCCUUGGCCAUUGCCCAUGUUGCCCAAAAUGCUCUAGCUCACUAAACACUUAGACAAGCAUGCAAGAUCUUCAGCAAGUGUUUGGUUUUCGCAAGUUAGAACGAACGAGGUGCACGAGAGGCAAUACGAGCGUACCUCCCGACUCAUUUAGUCUUUGAAAAAGCGUAGUCAUAAGCCUGCGCUUCUCUUGUUCUAUCUACAAAUAAUCCAUCAAGAUUUAACUAACGCCAUGCGAAAUCGAUCAAAUGAACAAGAUUUCCGAAAUCUCUCGCUCGAUGUCUUUCUACCGUGAAUACAGUAGCUAGCUAGUAUAAAUUAACAAGGUCCUUGCAAGAAACCAUAUCAAUCCAGCAGAUAGCUUAAACAUAACCAUUUCUCUCUUUUUUCACGACCCUUGAGAAAAAAAAUGCAGAUCUUCAGCAAAGUGUUGAGAGAUACUGAUGUCCAUGUUCGGUUCUCGUUCCCAACUCAUUGCUUAGAGCAUUUAGAUUUUGCUGGAAAUAAUUCUGUUGAUUUGUAUGUUAAAGAUAGCUGCGGUGAGCUUCGAGUUAUUCGUUGCCUGAAGAGAAAUGGAGUUUAUGACAAGCCAGUGCUUUCUAUGGGCUGGCUUAAAUUUGUUGAUGAUUAUGGACUGAGAGUUGGUGACAUGGUUGUUCUUCAUCGUGAGGAUGACCAUAACCUGGGGUCACAGUUCAUGAUUGAAGCUAAGAGGAGAAUGAAGCUGUUUGGUGAGGAGGAUUGGGGUGAAGUGACAAGAGAUAACUAGCUAUUAUUUGCAUGGAGCGUGGAUGUUCGGCCAGAUCCAGAUAUAUAUAGAAGAAUCAAUUUCCUAAGUUUGGUGUUUUUGUGUGUGUAAAUUAAACAAAUAUGUUGCUGUUCUUAGUUUCUUGAAUAUGUAUUACGUGCAUGUAAUUCUCAGCAAUAAUGGAUUUAAUUAAUUAUAUGUGAUCAGAUUCUGUCUCUAAUAGUAUGAGUUAUACAGUAUAUAUGUACUGAUCUCAAAUUCCGUUUCCAAGAGUUUUUUUUUUUUUUUUUCCUUCAAGUUUUACAUUUCCAGGUUUUUCAAUUUUGUUGGUUUAAAUCAUUGGUGAUGCUAAGAAACAAACAUCAUUGUUUCCAAUCUUACGGUGUCAAUCAUGGUUGUUAAAAUCAUGUUUUGACUCGUAAAAUUGUAUGAUUUUACAAGUCAAAAUAUACUUUACAUGCUGAAUCGUUUGAAAAAAUAAAAAUAGAUGAAAUCAAAUUGAAAUUGAAUGAAAUCGUUGAAAAUCACGAGUUCAUGACCGAUUAAACGACUUCACCAAAACACAUAAACUGAAGUAAAUGUUUCCCUCCAUGCUCCAGCUGUCCGGCGUCUAUUGGCUGGGUAAAUGCACAGUCACUAAUAAAAACAAAGUCUCCAGUCAUCAGUGCGUCGCCUUUCUUCCUUUUCAAUGAGAACAAAUCCCUAAUCUCCUUCUCUAUUAACCAACCAGCAACCACAAAAGCGGCGACGAUCAGUCCAGUCUUCACUACAGUAGCUAGCUAGUUAUAAAUUAACAAGCUCCUUGCAAGAAACUAUAUCAAUCUAGCUGCAGAUAGCUUAAAGGCAACCAUUUCUCUCUUUUUUCACGACCCUUGAGAAAAAAAUGCAGAUCUUCAGCGAAGUGUUGGGAGAUACUGAUGUUCGUUUUCGGUUCUCGCUCCCAGCUCAUUGCUUACAGCAUUUAGAUUUUGCUGGAAAUAAUUAUGUUGAUUUGCAUGUUAAAGAUAGCUCUGGUGAGCUUCGAGUUAUUCGUUGCCUGAAGAGAAAUGAAGAUUAUGACAAGCCAGUGCUUUCUAAGGGCUGGCUUAAAUUUGUUGCUGAUUAUGGACUGAGAGCUGAUGACAUGGUUGUUCUUCAUCGUGAGGAUGACCAUAACCUGGGGUCACAGUUCAGGAUUGAAGCUAAGAGGAGAAUCAAGCUGUUUGGUGAGGAGGAUUGGAGUGAUGUGACAAGAGCUAACUAGCUAUUAUUUGCAUGGAGCGUGGAUGUUCGGCCAUAUCCAGAUAUGCAUAGAAGAAUGGAUUUC